This 3066-nucleotide long non-coding RNA is filed under the name Sus scrofa (pig). RNAcentral describes it as "lncRNA (ENSSSCG00000062313.1)". The record is from RNAcentral. Lineage: Eukaryota; Metazoa; Chordata; Mammalia; Artiodactyla; Suidae.
AUCUGUUCUGCAAAAGUUCAGUCUGUCCUUUUUCAGAUUCCACAUGUCAGUGAAAGCAUUUGAUGUUGGUGUCUCAUUGUAUGGCUGACUUCACUUAGCAUGAUAAUUUCUAGGUCCAUCCAUGUUGCUAAAAAUGCCGGUAUUUUAUUCCUUUUAAUGGCUGAGUAACAUUCCAUUGUGUAUAUGUAGAAGAAAGUUUAUUUAAAAAAAAAAUCCUAUGCCCUAGAAAAGGCAAAAUAAAAUAAAAUAAAUAAAUAAAUAAAAUAAAAAAUCCUACCCACCAAGCUGUCCAUCAGAGUUACAUUGAAAGCCCAUGGUUUAGGGAGUUCCCGUGUGGCUCAGUGGUUAACGAAUUCGACUAGGAACCAUGAGGUUGCGGGUUCGAUCCCUGGCCUUGCUCAGUGGGUUAAGGAUCCAGUGUUGCCAUGAGUUGUGGUGUAGGUCACAGAUGUAGCUCGGAUCCCGCGUUGCUGUGGCUCUGGCGUAGGCCGGUGGCUACAGCUCCGAUUCGACCCCUAGCCUGGGAACCUCCAUAUACUGUGGGAGCGGCCUAAGAAAUGCCCAUGGUUUAAAAGAAAAGAGAAUUACAAUCUCAAACAUUAACAAGAGAAUCCCAAACGUGCCUUGCAUUUGGGAAGAGCCUGAUGGAGCAUCCACAGAUCUCAUGACACACACAAUCUUAUUGCACAUGGUCCCCACCACUGGUCUCAAACAAAGCAGUAAGAUUUAAUGCAAAACCUCUGUCUUCCAGCCCCUUCACUGGGCCCCCAAAUGAGACAUAUACGGGCUAAAGUUUCAGGAGAGCAAGACCAAGAGUGGAGCUCACCACCAGUAGGAAUGGUCCCACUGCCCUCCUCAGGGCUCUCACAUGGACCUUCCUUGCCACUGCCCCAUCUCUCCAGCUCCCCCAACUCACACCUGCCUCCUGCCUUUAUACCCCUUCUCCCCUUCAUGUGAGUGUUUUGGCUUCGACCCCAGUUCUCCUAACAGGAAGGAGAGCAGGGAAGUGGGAACCUGAACGGACCGCCUUCUGCUUCUGCCAAUCCCUGGCCGAAUCAGCCAUGAGGGUCACUGGAGAGCCAAGCCAUCCUAACACAGGGGACCUUCUCUGAACACUCACUGAGUGCUAGGUGCCUUCUGUACAUCAUCUCAUGUCACCCUCACCAGAAACUCGAGAGUAUCAAGCCCUCACAUACAAAGAAACAAGAUCCAGUUUCACCAAGCUAGAAGUGGCAGAGGUGAGAUUCAAACCCCUACCUGCUCCAAAGCCCAUGUCUUCCCUAUCACAAUACAAGAGAAAAGGUAAAGGGACACGGAGCAUUUAUUGUCGUGCAGCCUCAGCAGCACCUGGGAGCUUGUUAGAAAUGCAGUCUCUCAGGCCCCUGCCGGGCCUUCUGAGAGGGAAUCUGAACUUUAACAAGAUUCCAGGCAAUUUCGAUGCCGUUUAAAGUUUGAGAAACCCGCCUCUGCAUCCGUGGUUCGGGAUUCGCAGCCCAGGCUGUACACAGGAAUCAUCUGGAUAGCUUUGCACUAAUGCCAAUGCCCGGGGCCCACAUCUGUGGUUCUGAUUUAACUGUCCAGUUUAUUAAAAGCUCCCCAGGUGAUUCCAAUGGGCAGCAACCUUUGAGAACCACUAGCAGAAGAAAAGGGACAGUUGACAGCUGUGGAGUCUGGGUGCCACUAGCUACUUGCCUGUCUUCCCAGGCAGAGGUUUGAGAGCAGCAUCAGGGAGGCCCAGUAAUAGGACAGAGACAGACUGGCUUUCCUGCCCGCCGGCGCGAGCGCGGUUAGACAGACAUCGCCUGUGGAGGGACGCGGGGUAGGGGCUCCUGCUCUGGAAGCCCAGCAGUCUGGGUGCCAGAAACGCAGGGGGAGCGAGUUCGCCGGGCUCCGCCCGCGCCUUGAGUGGGGCUGGGAGAACGGGUGCAGCGCGCAGGCGCAGAGGCGGGGCGGGACCAGGCGGCGGCCCGCUCGGUUCCGGCGGGUAGGGGUGACUCAGAGGGCGGGGGCCGCAGCCUGCUCUCGCCCCCGCCCCCACCGGGCCGGCAACGGCCGCCUCCAGGGCCGCCUCCGGAAGGGGUGGGGCCGGGCAGCCCGGCAGCAGGCAGGUGGGCAGGUGCGCCGCCGCCCGGGGAGUGCGCAUUCGAGCUCUUUGUUGAUCAAACCCGCCCAGCCCCGGGACUGGGCGCGAGCCCCCGGAGCUGAGUCAUGGCCGCCUGCUGGGUGCACGGCCACAUGGCCCCCCACCACGUGCAUCCCUUUCCUGAAGCUGGUUUGUUUCAUGAGGCCGCCAAAAAGUCAGAAACCAGGGAGAGGUGGCUUCUGUUCUAAAAAGCCCUUUACUCGUAAUUCAUAAGCAAGGUCACUCCAGCACUCACACAGCGCUGAGCGAGAGGCACCGUCCCUGAGGAUGCCACCUCCAGGAGGAUCGUGAUUUUGAGGCUUGAGGCAAAGCUCCCAGAUAGACCCAUCGUGACACGGUCAGGAAGAUUCCUCUAUAGCUGCCCCAUGUCCCCACACCUGCCUGGGGUAUGGGCUGAGAAAGCGGGCCUAGGGUCACCUGGAGAACUUGUCAGAAAUGCACAUCCGCCAGCCUUGUUGGCAGAGCCUGAGAUUCAACAGAACCAGCUACAGCUGUGGAAUCUGCAUUUUAACAAGGGUCCUGACGUUUUCUAAGCAGGUGCUUGGUAGACUUGACUUUGAGAGUCACUGAUUUUGAGGAGGUUCCCCCUGAGCUUAGAUGCCUUAACUACAAAUGGGUCCCCACUGAAGGAUCAUGAGUUGAGUUUGCAAGGAGGCACAACUAGCAGUUGGCAGAAGGAGUCAGGUCAGGGUCACCAGGCCUCCACACCUGUGUUUAAUUUAUGUGCACGGGCUAAACCUGCAUUGCAGCCGUCCUCAAGGAGUUUCUAGGAGUUCCCGUUGUGGCUCAGUGGUUAACGAAUCUGACUAGGAACCAUGAGGUUGAGGGUUCGAUCCCUGACCUCGCUCAGUGGGUUGAGUCUGGCGUUGCCAUGAGCUGUGGUGUAGGUUGUAGACGCGGCUUGGAUCCCGUGUUGCUGUGGC